GAUGAACGCUGGCGGCGUGCCUAAUACAUGCAAGUCGAGCGAACAGACGAGGAGCUUGCUCCUCUGACGUUAGCGGCGGACGGGUGAGUAACACGUGGAUAACCUACCUAUAAGACUGGGAUAACUUCGGGAAACCGGAGCUAAUACCGGAUAAUAUAUUGAACCGCAUGGUUCAAUAGUGAAAGACGGUUUUGCUGUCACUUAUAGAUGGAUCCGCGCCGCAUUAGCUAGUUGGUAAGGUAACGGCUUACCAAGGCAACGAUGCGUAGCCGACCUGAGAGGGUGAUCGGCCACACUGGAACUGAGACACGGUCCAGACUCCUACGGGAGGCAGCAGUAGGGAAUCUUCCGCGAUGGGCGAAAGCUUGACGGAGCAACGCCGCGUGAGUGAUGAAGGUCUUCGGAUCGUAAAGCUCUGUUAUUAGGGAAGAACAAAUGUGUAAGUAACUAUGCACGUCUUGACGGUACCUAAUCAGAAAGCCACGGCUAACUACGUG
Molecule: ribosomal RNA, 497 nt
Filed under: uncultured bacterium
Lineage: Bacteria
Description: partial 16S ribosomal RNA
Rfam family: Bacterial small subunit ribosomal RNA
Source: RNAcentral